UGGUCUGAGAGGACGACCAGCCACACUGGAACUGAGACACGGUCCAGACUCCUACGGGAGGCAGCAGUGGGGAAUUUUGGACAAUGGGCGCAAGCCUGAUCCAGCAAUGCCGCGUGAGUGAAGAAGGCCUUCGGGUUGUAAAGCUCUUUUGUCAGGGAAGAAACGGGUGAGGUUAAUACCUUUGCCUAAUGACGGUACCUGAAGAAUAAGCACCGGCUAACUACGUGCCAGCAGCCGCGGUAAUACGUAGGGUGCAAGCGUUAAUCGGAAUUACUGGGCGUAAAGCGUGCGCAGGCGGUUAUACAAGACAGAUGUGAAAUCCCCGGGCUCAACCUGGGAAUUGCAUUUGUGACUGUAUGGCUAGAGUGUGUCAGAGGGGGGUAGA
RNAcentral lists this ribosomal RNA (385 nucleotides) under Herbaspirillum lusitanum. RNAcentral describes it as "bacterial SSU rRNA". It matches the Rfam family "Bacterial small subunit ribosomal RNA", at positions 288 to 665 of the family's 1533-position model. Lineage: Bacteria; Pseudomonadati; Pseudomonadota; Betaproteobacteria; Burkholderiales; Oxalobacteraceae. The record is from RNAcentral.